UUGAACGCUGGCGGCAGGCCUAACACAUGCAAGUCGAACGGUAACAGGAAGAAGCUUGCUUCUUUGCUGACGAGUGGCGGACGGGUGAGUAAUGUCUGGGAAACUGCCUGAUGGAGGGGGAUAACUACUGGAAACGGUAGCUAAUACCGCAUAACGUCGCAAGACCAAAGAGGGGGACCUUCGGGCCUCUUGCCAUCGGAUGUGCCCAGAUGGGAUUAGCUAGUAGGUGGGGUAACGGCUCACCUAGGCGACGAUCCCUAGCUGGUCUGAGAGGAUGACCAGCCACACUGGAACUGAGACACGGUCCAGACUCCUACGGGAGGCAGCAGUGGGGAAUAUUGCACAAUGGGCGCAAGCCUGAUGCAGCCAUGCCGCGUGUAUGAAGAAGGCCUUCGGGUUGUAAAGUACUUUCAGCGGGGAGGAAGGGAGUAAAGUUAAUACCUUUGCUCAUUGACGUUACCCGCAGAAGAAGCACCGGCGAACUCCGU
RNAcentral lists this ribosomal RNA (488 nucleotides) under uncultured bacterium. Its description in RNAcentral is "partial 16S ribosomal RNA". It matches the Rfam family "Bacterial small subunit ribosomal RNA", at positions 30 to 506 of the family's 1533-position model. The record is from RNAcentral.